Molecule: non-coding RNA, 28 nt
Filed under: Mus musculus (house mouse)
Lineage: Eukaryota; Metazoa; Chordata; Mammalia; Rodentia; Muridae
Source: RNAcentral
UCAUCACAUUCGGCUGGUGUCCUUGCCA